AACGAACGCUGGCGGCAUGCCUAACACAUGCAAGUCGAACGAGACCUUCGGGUCUAGUGGCGCACGGGUGCGUACCGCGUGGGAAGCUGCCCUUAGGUUCGGAAUAACUCCCCGAAAGGGGUGCUAAUGCCGGAUAAUGUCUUCGGACCAAAGAUUUGUCGCCUUUGGAUGGGCCCGGGUUGGUUUAGCUAGUUGGUAGGGUAAAAGCCUACCAAGGCGACGAUGCAUAGCUGGUCUGAGAGGAUGAUCAGCCACACUGGGACUGAGACACGGCCCAGACUCCUACGGGAGGCAGCAGUGGGGAAUAUAGGACAAUGGGCGAAAGCCUGAUCCAGCAAUGCCGCGUAAGUGAUGAAGGCCGUAGGGUUGUAAAGCUCUUUUACCCGGGAUGAUAAUGACAGUACCGGGAGAAUAAGCACCGGCUAACUCCGUG
Molecule: ribosomal RNA, 433 nt
Filed under: uncultured bacterium
Lineage: Bacteria
Description: partial 16S ribosomal RNA
Rfam family: Bacterial small subunit ribosomal RNA
Source: RNAcentral